This 1066-nucleotide ribosomal RNA is filed under the name Corynebacterium tuberculostearicum. RNAcentral's name for it is "bacterial SSU rRNA". It matches the Rfam family "Bacterial small subunit ribosomal RNA", at positions 8 to 1086 of the family's 1533-position model. The record is from RNAcentral. Lineage: Bacteria; Bacillati; Actinomycetota; Actinomycetes; Mycobacteriales; Corynebacteriaceae.
AGAGUUUGAUCCUGGCUCAGGACGAACGCUGGCGGCGUGCUUAACACAUGCAAGUCGAACGGAAAGGCCCUGCUUGCAGGGUACUCGAGUGGCGAACGGGUGAGUAACACGUGGGUGAUCUGCCCUGCACUUCGGGAUAAGCCUGGGAAACUGGGUCUAAUACCGGAUAGGAGCCAUUUUUAGUGUGAUGGUUGGAAAGUUUUUUCGGUGUAGGAUGAGCUCGCGGCCUAUCAGCUUGUUGGUGGGGUAAUGGCCUACCAAGGCGGCGACGGGUAGCCGGCCUGAGAGGGUGGACGGCCACAUUGGGACUGAGAUACGGCCCAGACUCCUACGGGAGGCAGCAGUGGGGAAUAUUGCACAAUGGGCGCAAGCCUGAUGCAGCGACGCCGCGUGGGGGAUGACGGCCUUCGGGUUGUAAACUCCUUUCGCUAGGGACGAAGCUUUUUGUGACGGUACCUAGAUAAGAAGCACCGGCUAACUACGUGCCAGCAGCCGCGGUAAUACGUAGGGUGCGAGCGUUGUCCGGAAUUACUGGGCGUAAAGGGCUCGUAGGUGGUUUGUCGCGUCGUCUGUGAAAUUCCGGGGCUUAACUCCGGGCGUGCAGGCGAUACGGGCAUAACUUGAGUACUGUAGGGGUAACUGGAAUUCCUGGUGUAGCGGUGAAAUGCGCAGAUAUCAGGAGGAACACCGAUGGCGAAGGCAGGUUACUGGGCAGUUACUGACGCUGAGGAGCGAAAGCAUGGGUAGCGAACAGGAUUAGAUACCCUGGUAGUCCAUGCCGUAAACGGUGGGCGCUAGGUGUGAGGGUCUUUUCACGACUUUCGUGCCGUAGCUAACGCAUUAAGCGCCCCGCCUGGGGAGUACGGCCGCAAGGCUAAAACUCAAAGGAAUUGACGGGGGCCCGCACAAGCGGCGGAGCAUGUGGAUUAAUUCGAUGCAACGCGAAGAACCUUACCUGGGCUUGACAUACACCGGAUCGGGCUAGAGAUAGUCUUUCCCUUUGUGGCUGGUGUACAGGUGGUGCAUGGUUGUCGUCAGCUCGUGUCGUGAGAUGUUGGGUUAAGUC